RNAcentral lists this long non-coding RNA (462 nucleotides) under Musa acuminata (dwarf banana). RNAcentral describes it as "long non-coding RNA (MACU_LNC001671)". The stretch from base 228 to 312 matches the Rfam family "Small nucleolar RNA SNORD25". The record is from RNAcentral. Lineage: Eukaryota; Viridiplantae; Streptophyta; Magnoliopsida; Zingiberales; Musaceae.
AACGAUGAUGAACCCUACAGACCUGUAAUGAUUAUUGCAGAUAUGAUUGCAUAAUCAAAGAACAUCUAAGGGACUGAGUUGUCAACCUCGCAAGCUGUUUUAAGACGCAGGAGGUUUUUUUUUAUCUCAUAUAGUUUUUUUCCCCCUUGAAAUGUUUGAUAAAUUAAAUUUAUUUACAGUGAUGUCAAGUUCCAAAAUAAUGACUUUUCUUGUAUUCCAAAACAACGGACAGCGAUGAUGAGCCUACAGACCUGUAAUGAUCAUUGCUGAUAUGAUUGCAUAAUCAAAGAACAUCUAAGGGACUGAGUUGUCAACCUCACAGGCUGUUUUAAGAUGCAGGAGGCUUUUAUAUCUAAUCUAGGAUUUUUUUUCUUGAAAUGUUUGCAUAAUACAAUGAUGUCAGCUUCCAAAAUACUGACAUAUGUAUUUGAAAAUAAUGGACAAUGAUGUAAUGAUUAUUAC